RNAcentral lists this transfer RNA (75 nucleotides) under Planctomycetota bacterium. RNAcentral's name for it is "tRNA-Lys". It matches the Rfam family "tRNA". From Rfam's summary of the family: Transfer RNA (tRNA) molecules are approximately 80 nucleotides in length. The record is from RNAcentral. Lineage: Bacteria; Pseudomonadati; Planctomycetota. RNAcentral also lists the same sequence under 1 other name.
CGGGCGAUUAGCUCAGUUGGUAGAGCAGCUGACUCUUAAUCAGCGGGUCACAGGUUCGAGCCCUGUGCGGCCCAG